GGCUGCCGCCCUUCCCCCACCCACGCCGGCGGGAGCCGCCCGUUCGCGCUGCCAGCAGCUUCCGCCUGCUACGGUCCUGGCAAGCACCUCGGGAUCCCAUUCCUUCACAGGGACCCUAGCCAGUUAAAGCUGAUACAUUCCUGUGGGUCAACUAUGCAACUAACUCAGAUUUUGAGCAAACAAAGCUCUCAAGUUGGUGAUCCUCAGGAGUCUCUGCAUUAGUUGGACAGCUCUUCUGGAAUUAUCUUCUAAGUCAACUGUGGGUUGGGUAGGUGGCUCUGCUGAUUUUUCGCUGGACUUCCACAUUUGGGACGAGUUGGCUGUCAUCAGCUCUAGAAAGGGUGUGGCCGUUUUACAUUGGCUGUUUUCCUCACAUUCCUCAAGCAGGUACUGUAAUAAAGAACUGGAGAAAUACAGUCAGAUGGGAAGUAGCCCUUGCUGUCAAGGAGCUUGCCAUCUAAUGGGGGAGACAGGCAAGUAAACCAAAGACUACACAGUGCAGUAUGGUAAGUGCCAUGAUUUUGAUGUGACAGGGCACAGUGGACGACCUUCCAAAUCAAAGCAAGUAACUAGGGGUUGACAAUGGUAAGUAUCAUAGUUGAAGUAUCCUUGAACAAGGUUUCAGGAAGAAGAAGAAGGGAAUUUCAUGCAGGGAAACAGCCAAAGCUCAGUGAGUCAAAAUAUCACAGCAUUCUUGGUAAGCCCAAUUGUUUUUUCUGUUUUGCUAUUUUGGUGGAGAGAAAGGAACACAUAAAGGAAUAACAUGAGAGAAGGCUAUUUGGGGAAGUGUAGUAGUUAAGGUUCUGGCUCAAACAACAACUGCAGCUCAUAAAGUUGACUUUAGUGGAAGGAUACUGGGGUAUCUCAUGGAAUCUUGGGAACUGUUGAAUAACCAGGGAAACUCUGGGAAACUCACUGGUAGGAAUCCAUAAACUGUCCUCCUGGUGGGCUGUAAACAACUCACCCUCUAUGCAUCUCACAUCAAAAUUCCAGUUUCUUGGGAAAACAAGUCUGUUUGCCCAAUUUGGGUCAUAUUUCCACGUCCAUGUUACUCAGGCAUGAUUCAUCUGCAAGUUAUGUGUAUAGAUAUUUUGCUACUGUUCCACCCUUACGCUGUGCUGGGGAGGGAGGUGUCACUGUGAGCUGUGUCGGUGCCUUAAGAGAUAUCUGUUGUGUCUUAUUACUUGGUUGCUUUUCCCCACAUGUACAAUGACAAAAAUGCCUUCAACCUAUUUGAUCCAGCCGUUCCAGUACAACUCCUAUACUUGCCAUCUUUCCAAGCCCAAAGGUACAUCCAGCUGAUGGAAGGAGCAUCUUGGUGUUAAUAUUCUUUUAGUCAUGGUCUCUGAAAGUAAAAUGUCUAUUCUUCUAAUUCUGGCACAAUCUUAUCUAGCUAUAGUUCCUCAUGGUCCUGCACUCCAUGGACUAAAUUGUAAGUAUAAUUACUACCAAUGUACUCUAUAAAUAACUUUUGGGGCCAGGGUGGCAAUAGUUGCUAGAGAGAAAAAAAAAAAAAAGGAAGGAGAAGAAAACAGUGAUAGUUCUUAUUUUAAAAGGAAAAAAAGAGGCAGGAGGCUCUCUUGAGGCCAGGAGUUUAAGACCAGCCUAGGCAGCAUUUCAAGACCCUGUCUCUACUAAAAAGUAAAAAAAAAAUUUAGUCAGGCAUGGUGGCAUGCACCUGUAGUCGUAGCUACUCAGGAGACUGAGGUGGGAGGAUUGAUUGAGCUCAGGAGUUUGAGGCUGCAGUGAGCAAUCAUCAUGCCAUUGCACUCCAGCCUGGGCAUCAGAGCAAGACCUUGUCUUUUAGGAAAAAAAGGCAGGGAAGAGGAAUAGGUAAUUUUUCAGUGUUCAGACAUUCCAGCAAUAUGUGUGGAGUACUCAUUCUCACUACAGUUUAUGAGGCCAUAGCUAGUAUGUAUGACUACCCAUCCAAGUUUCCCUGCUUACAGUUACUAUUCCAACUGAUUGGGGGGCUUUUCCUAAUAGAGUGAUUUAAGCCUUCAUUUUUAGACAUCUAAGCCCUUGGUGAUCAUCAGCAUAAAAUGUGACAAAUUAAACAAAAGCAAGACAGCACAUCAGAGAACAACUCUGAGGUGGAAUGAUUGGGAACCAAUGAAUAGUUGUUCAGUAAAUGGUUUAUAUUUUACAGAUGAUGAAACUGAAACACAAAAAAUUUAGAUUAACUCUUAGGUGACAAAGCCAGGAUUGAAGCUCAUGCGGUCUGGCUCCAGAACAACUCUUCUUCAUAGUUACGUUAUACUGCCCCUGCAUUGUUGGUAUUGAAAGUAAGUGUAGGCCCUGGGCCUUCUAUACCUGGGAUUAAGUCACAUAUUCCUCUUCCUCUUCAAAUUUUACUAGUCUUGUGAGCGAGAAAAAGCUACUGAAUUUUUCUAAGCUCAGUCUUUUUCAUUUAUGAAAUAGAGAUAUCCUUUGUGGGCCGGUUGCCGUGGCUCACGCCUGUAAUCCCAGCACUUUGGGAGGCCGAGGUGGGUGGAUCACGAGGUCAGGAGAUCAAGAUCAGUUGAAACCCCCUCUCUACUAAAAAUACAAAAAAUUAGCCAGAUGUGGUGGCGGACGCCUGUAGUCCCAGCUACUCGGG
RNAcentral lists this long non-coding RNA (2599 nucleotides) under Homo sapiens (human). RNAcentral describes it as "CCDC18 antisense RNA 1". Lineage: Eukaryota; Metazoa; Chordata; Mammalia; Primates; Hominidae. The record is from RNAcentral.